RNAcentral lists this ribosomal RNA (459 nucleotides) under uncultured bacterium. Its description in RNAcentral is "partial 16S ribosomal RNA". It matches the Rfam family "Bacterial small subunit ribosomal RNA", at positions 338 to 795 of the family's 1533-position model. The record is from RNAcentral.
CCUACGGGUGGCAGCAGUGAGGAAUAUUGGUCAAUGGCCGGAAGGCUGAACCAGCCAAGCCGCGUGAAGGACGAAGGUGCCAAGCAUUGUAAACUUCUUUUGUCAAGGGACAAAAUCAGGCUCGAGAGCCUGACCGAGGGUACUUGAAGAAAAAGCAUCGCCUAAAUCAGUGCCAGCAGCCGCGGUAAUACGGGGGAUGCGAGCGUUAUCCGGAUUUAUUGGGUUUAAAGGGGGCGUAGGCGGACUGUUAAGUCAGCGGGAAAAGCCCGGGGCUCAACCCCGGCGAGCCGUUGAAACUGGCUGUCUGGAGAGGGCGAGAGGUAUGCGGAAUGCGCAGUGUAGCGGUGAAAUGCUUAGAUAUUGCGCAGAACUCCGAUUGCGAAGGCAGCAUACCGGCGGCGAUCUGACGCUGAGGCACGAAAGCGUGGGUAUCGAACAGGAUUAGAUACCCGGGUAGUC